AUGAACGCUGGCGGCGUGCCUCAUACAUGCAAGUCGAGCGAACGGACGAGAAGCUUGCUUUUCUGAUGUUAGCGGCGGACGGGUGAGUAACACGUGGAUAACCUACCUAUAAGACUGGGAUAACUUCGGGAAACCGGAGCUAAUAACGGAUAAUAUUUUGAACCGCAUGGUUCAAAAGUGAAAGACGGUAUUGCUGUCACUUAUAGAUGGAUCCGCGCUGCAUUAGCUAGUUGGUAAGGUAACGGCUUACCAAGGCAACGAUGCAUAGCCGACCUGAGAGGGUGAUCGGCCACACUGGAACUGAGACACGGUCCAGACUCCUACGGGAGGCAGCAGUAGGGAAUCUUCCGCAAUGGGCGAAAGCCUGACGGAGCAACGCCGCGUGAGUGAUGAAGGUCUUCGGAUCGUAAAACUCUGUUAUUAGGGAAGAACAUAUGUGUAAGUAACUGUGCACAUCUUGACGGUACCUAAUCAGAAAGCCACGGCUAACUACGUG
This 496-nucleotide ribosomal RNA is filed under the name uncultured bacterium. Its description in RNAcentral is "partial 16S ribosomal RNA". It matches the Rfam family "Bacterial small subunit ribosomal RNA", at positions 29 to 507 of the family's 1533-position model. The record is from RNAcentral.